This 906-nucleotide ribosomal RNA is filed under the name uncultured organism. RNAcentral describes it as "bacterial SSU rRNA". It matches the Rfam family "Bacterial small subunit ribosomal RNA", at positions 576 to 1475 of the family's 1533-position model. The record is from RNAcentral.
UGGUUAUUCAAGUCUCUGUUCAAAGCGUGGGGCUUUAAGUCCAUAGAGCCAUGUGGAAACUGGAGAACUUGAGUCCGGUUACGGUUCGAGGAAUUCCCAAGUGUACCGGUGAAAAUGCGUAGAUACUUGGGAAGAACACCAAGUGCCGAAAGCGCUCGACUGGGCAUGCACUGACACUGAGGGACCGAAAGCUAGGGGAGCGAAAGGGAUUAGAUACCCCUGUAGUCCUAGCCGUAAACGAUGGAUACUAGGUGUUGCUCGUCAUCGACCCGAGCAGUGCCGUAGCCAACGCGUUAAGUAUCCCGCCUGGGGAGUACGCUCGCAAGAGUGAAACUCAAAGGAAUUUGACGGGGGCCCGCACAAGCGGUGGAGUAUGUGGUUUAAUUCGAUGCAACGCGAAGAACCUUACCAGGGCUUGACAUGUCCGGAACCUUGCCGAAAGGUAAGGGUGCCUACGGGAACCGGAGCACAGGUGGUGCAUGGCUGUCGUCAGCUCGUGUCGUGAGAUGUUGGGUUAAGUCCCGCAACGAGCGCAACCCACGUUCUUAGUUGCCAGCAUUCAGUUGGGCACUCUAGGGAGACUGCCGGUGACAAACCGGAGGAAGGUGUGGAUGACGUCAAGUCAGCAUGCCCCUUACGUCCUGGGCUACACACGUACUACAAUGCUGUGGACAAAGGGCAGCCAGCCGGCGACGGUGAGCUAAUCCCAUAAACCACGGCACAGUUCAGAUUGCAGGCUGCAACUCGCCUGCAUGAAGGAGGAAUCGCUAGUAAUCGCAGGUCAGCAUACUGCGGUGAUACGUUCCCGGGCAUUGUACACACCGCCCGUCACACCAUGGGAGUUGGUUUUGCCCGAAGUCGUUACUCCAACAUGCGGGGGGGGACGCCGAAGGCAGGGCUGAUGAC